Molecule: ribosomal RNA, 492 nt
Filed under: uncultured bacterium
Lineage: Bacteria
Description: partial 16S ribosomal RNA
Rfam family: Bacterial small subunit ribosomal RNA
Source: RNAcentral
AGUGAACGCUGGCGGUAGGCCUAACACAUGCCAGUCGAACGGCAGCACAGUAAGAGCUUGCUCUUACGGGUGGCGAGUGGCGGACGGGUGAGGAAUACAUCGUAAUCUACUUUUUCGUGGGGGAUAACGUAGGGAAACUUACGCUAAUACCGCAUACGACCUACGGGUGAAAGCAGGGGAUCUUCGGACCUUGCGCGAUAGAAUGAGCCGAUGUCGGAUUAGCUAGUUGGCGGGGUAAAGGCCCACCAAGGCGACGAUCCGUAGCUGGUCUGAGAGGAUGAUCAGCCACACUGGAACUGAGACACGGUCCAGACUCCUACGGGAGGAAGCAGUGGGGAAUAUUGGACAAUGGGCGCAAGCCUGAUCCAGCUAUACCGCGUGGGUGAAGAAGGCCUUCGGGUGGUAAAGCCCUUCUGUUGGGAAAGAAAAGCAGCAGGUUAAUACCCCGCUGUUCUGACGGUACCCAAAGAAUAAGCACCGGCUAACUUCGUG